This 909-nucleotide ribosomal RNA is filed under the name uncultured Bacteroidota bacterium. RNAcentral describes it as "bacterial SSU rRNA". It matches the Rfam family "Bacterial small subunit ribosomal RNA", at positions 17 to 916 of the family's 1533-position model. The record is from RNAcentral. Lineage: Bacteria; Pseudomonadati; Bacteroidota.
UCCUGGCUCAGGAUGAACGCUAGCUACAGGCUUAACACAUGCAAGUCGAGGGGAAACGACAUCGAAAGCUUGCUUUUGAUGGGCGUCGACCGGCGCACGGGUGAGUAACGCGUAUCCAACCUGCCCAUCACUUGGGAAUAACCUUGCGAAAGUAAGACUAAUACCCAAUGAUAUCCCACGAAGGCAUCCGAAUGGGAUUAAAGAUUUAUCGGUGAUGGAUGGGGAUGCGUCUGAUUAGCUUGUUGGCGGGGUAACGGCCCACCAAGGCAACGAUCAGUAGGGGUUCUGAGAGGAAGGUCCCCCACAUUGGAACUGAGACACGGUCCAAACUCCUACGGGAGGCAGCAGUGAGGAAUAUUGGUCAAUGGGCGAGAGCCUGAACCAGCCAAGUAGCGUGCAGGAUGACGGCCCUAUGGGUUGUAAACUGCUUUUAUAAGGGAAUAAAGUGGGUCACGUGUGACUUUUUGCAUGUACCUUAUGAAUAAGGACCGGCUAAUUCCGUGCCAGCAGCCGCGGUAAUACGGAAGGUCCGGGCGUUAUCCGGAUUUAUUGGGUUUAAAGGGAGCGUAGGCCGGGGAUUAAGCGUGUUGUGAAAUGUAGAGGCUCAACCUCUGCACUGCAGCGCGAACUGGUCUUCUUGAGUACGCACAACGUGGGCGGAAUUCGUGGUGUAGCGGUGAAAUGCUUAGAUAUCACGAAGAACUCCGAUUGCGAAGGCAGCUCACGGGAGCGCAACUGACGCUGAAGCUCGAAAGUGCGGGUAUCGAACAGGAUUAGAUACCCUGGUAGUCCGCACGGUAAACGAUGGAUGCCCGCUGUUGGCCUGAAUAGGUCAGCGGCCAAGCGAAAGCAUUAAGCAUCCCACCUGGGGAGUACGCCGGCAACGGUGCAACUCAAAUGAAUUGACGG